GAUGAACGCUGGCGGCGUGCCUAAUACAUACAAGUCGAGCGAACGGACGAGAAGCUUGCUUCUCUGAUGUUAGCGGCGGACGGGUGAGUAACACGUGGAUAACCUACCUAUAAGACUGGGAUAACUUCGGGAAACCGGAGCUAAUACCGGAUAAUAUUUUGAACCGCAUGGUUCAAAAGUGAAAGACGGUCUUGCUGUCACUUAUAGAUGGAUCCGCGCUGCAUUAGCUAGUUGGUAAGGUAACGGCUUACCAAGGCAACGAUGCAUAGCCGACCUGAGAGGGUGAUCGGCCACACUGGAACUGAGACACGGUCCAGACUCCUACGGGAGGCAGCAGUAGGGAAUCUUCCGCAAUGGGCGAAAGCCUGACGGAGCAACGCCGCGUGAGUGAUGAAGGUCUUCGGAUCGUAAAACUCUGUUAUUAGGGAAGAACAUAUGUGUAAGUAGCUGUGCACAUCUUGACGGUACCUAAUCAGAAAGCCACGGCUAACUACGUG
RNAcentral lists this ribosomal RNA (497 nucleotides) under uncultured bacterium. RNAcentral's name for it is "partial 16S ribosomal RNA". It matches the Rfam family "Bacterial small subunit ribosomal RNA", at positions 28 to 507 of the family's 1533-position model. The record is from RNAcentral.